AUAAGGAGUCACUAAGCUAUAACAAAGAUUCACUUAUCAGGUGGGCAUUACUUUCAUAUAUAUCAAAUGAGUUUAAAUGUUACGUUCAAGCAAGUUAUUUCAUGACAAAAUCUUUGAGUUAAAGUUAUUUCAAGUAUUGUCUUGCCAUAAAAUGUUUCAAUUUUAGUAUGAUAUCUAUCUGCUUUGGCUUUGCCAAUGAUGCAAUCGAAUUCGUGUCCUGAGCAGUUGAUAGCUAUCCUGUCAGGACUAGUGUACACCAGUGACCGUGAGUCAUCUAGCGGGUUGGCCGGUCAAGUGUCCGUGAGAGGUGGCCACCUCUCCAGCACAAAGUUCCAGAUAUGAUAGAUUACAAGAGAACUUAGUCUGCAGAUGAACUUUAAGAAUCACAAAUUAAUUUAGUAAGUUUGGGCCUUUUAGUUAAAACUCCCUUGCUGUACUGUGUAUGAUGGCAUGACAAUUUAUAGUUUUUAUGAAAUGAUGUGUAUAUUAGGCAUACGUGCCCACUGAGUACUCUCGUACUCAGCCCUGUAUAUAUUUCUAAAUGUGCAGGUUGAGAAAUGGCUGAUGGUGAUGAAGUGACGAGCAGAGCUUUUGUCUUAGGUUGAAUGAAUGAACUCUUGGAUACAUGUCUUCAUACAUGUAGUCAGAUUAUGUUAUUCCGCUGCGUACUCUUAGAUCUUAUUCCCUUUUAGUUAAGUCGGAUUCAUCUGAACUUACAAGUCUGUUUGAGUCUUUGUGACUAAACAUCAGUUAUAUUAUGAAUUUUCCCUUCUUUAACAAUUAUUUUAGUUCGAUCCUCUAUUAUUUGUUCACUUCCUUUCUAUCGCCGUUUAUAACUGUGUCAUUAGUUACGACUUCCUGGCUUAAUUAUCCUUAAUUAAGUCCGGUUGUGACAUUGAAGGUAGCAAACCAAAGCAAGUGAAAUUGCUUCUUGGGAAGCAUAGCAAAU
RNAcentral lists this long non-coding RNA (949 nucleotides) under Salvia miltiorrhiza (redroot sage). RNAcentral describes it as "long non-coding RNA (SMIL_LNC007574)". The record is from RNAcentral. Lineage: Eukaryota; Viridiplantae; Streptophyta; Magnoliopsida; Lamiales; Lamiaceae.